GCUGGUGUGGCUCAAUUGGUAGAGCACCCGAUUUGUAAUCGGGCGGUUGGGAGUUCGAGUCUCUCCACCAGCACCA
Molecule: transfer RNA, 76 nt
Filed under: SAR116 cluster alpha proteobacterium HIMB100
Lineage: Bacteria; Pseudomonadati; Pseudomonadota; Alphaproteobacteria; Puniceispirillales (SeqCode)
Also listed under: 7 other names
Description: tRNA-Thr
Rfam family: tRNA
About the family: Transfer RNA (tRNA) molecules are approximately 80 nucleotides in length. Their secondary structure includes four short double-helical elements and three loops (D, anti-codon, and T loops). Further hydrogen bonds mediate the characteristic L-shaped molecular structure. tRNAs have two regions of fundamental functional importance: the anti-codon, which is responsible for specific mRNA codon recognition, and the 3' end, to which the tRNAs corresponding amino acid is attached (by aminoacyl-tRNA synthetases). tRNAs cope with the degeneracy of the genetic code in two manners: having more than one tRNA (with a specific anti-codon) for a particular amino acid; and 'wobble' base-pairing, i.e. permitting non-standard base-pairing at the 3rd anti-codon position.
Source: RNAcentral